Molecule: ribosomal RNA, 939 nt
Filed under: uncultured archaeon
Lineage: Archaea
Description: bacterial SSU rRNA
Rfam family: Archaeal small subunit ribosomal RNA
Source: RNAcentral
CGGUUGAUCCUGCCGGACCUUACUGCUAUCGGGGUGGGACUAAGACAUGCGAGUCGAGCGUCUCUAGCUAUGUUGAGACGCGGCAUACGGCUCAGUAACACGUGGCUAACCUACCCUCAGGACGGGGACAAACCCGGGAAACUGGGGCUAAUAUCCGAUAGGCGAAGAAUCCUGGAAUGGUUCUUCACUCAAAGGACAUUGGAAACAUGCUUUCUCUGUCGCCUGGGGAUGGGGCCGCGUCCGAUCAGGUUGUUGGUGAGGUAAUGGCUCACCAAGCCUUUAACCGGUACGGGCCGUGAGAGCGGUAGCCCGGAGAUGGGUACUGAGACAAGGACCCAGGCCCUACGGGGCGCAGCAGUCGCGAAAACUCCGCAAUGCACGAAAGUGUGACGGGGCUACCCCGAGUGCCGUCCGCUGAGGAUGGCUUUUCCUUGGUGUAACUAGCCGGGGGAAUAAGGAGAGGGCAAGACUGGUGUCAGCCGCCGCGGUAAUACCAGCUCUCCGAGUGGUAGGGAUGAUUAUUGGGCUUAAAGCGUCCGUAGCCGGCUUAGCAAGUUUCCUGUUAAAUUCAGCGACCUAAUCGUUGAGCCGCGGGAAAUACUACUAGGCUAGGAGGCGGGAGAGGUCGACGGUACUUCUGGGGUAGGGGUGAAAUCCUAUAAUCCCGGGAGGACCACCAGUGGCGAAGGCUGUCGACUAGAACGCGCUCGACGGUGAGGGACGAAAGCUGGGGGAGCGAACCGGAUUAGAUACCCGGGUAGUCCCAGCUGUAAACGAUGCGGGCUAGGUGUUGGGGUGGCUACGUGCCACUUCAGUGCCGCAGGGAGGCCAUUAAGCCCGCCGCCUGGGGAGUACGGCCGCAAGGCUGAAACUUAAAGGAAUUGGUGGGGGAGCACCACAAGGCGUGAAGCUUGCGGUUCAAUUGGAGUCAACGCCGGG